RNAcentral lists this transfer RNA (67 nucleotides) under Marmota monax (woodchuck). RNAcentral describes it as "tRNA.Ala". Lineage: Eukaryota; Metazoa; Chordata; Mammalia; Rodentia; Sciuridae. The record is from RNAcentral.
GGUUGUAGCUCAGUGUUAGAGUGCUUGCCUAGCAUGUGUGAAGCCCUGGGUUCAAUCCUCAGCACUG